This 253-nucleotide ribosomal RNA is filed under the name uncultured archaeon. RNAcentral describes it as "partial 16S ribosomal RNA". It matches the Rfam family "Archaeal small subunit ribosomal RNA", at positions 474 to 727 of the family's 1478-position model. The record is from RNAcentral.
UACCAGCCCCUCGAGUGGUCAGGAGGUUUAUUGGGCCUAAAGCAUCCGUAGCCGGCUGUUCAAGUUUUCGGUUAAAUCCACACGCUUAACGUAUGGGCCGCCGGAAAUACUGUUCAGCUAGGGAGUGGGAGAGGUAGACGGUACUCGAUAGGAAGGGGUAAAAUCCUUUGAUCUAUUGAUGACCACCUGUGGCGAAAGCGGUCUACCAGAACACGUUCGACGGUAAAAAAUGAAAGCUAAAAAAGCAAACCGG